GACGAACGCUGGCGGCGUGCUUAACACAUGCAAGUCGAACGGAAAGGCCCUGCUUUUGUGGGGUGCUCGAGUGGCGAACGGGUGAGUAACACGUGAGUAACCUGCCCUUGACUUUGGGAUAACUUCAGGAAACUGGGGCUAAUACCGGAUAGGAGCUCCUGCUGCAUGGUGGGGGUUGGAAAGUUUCGGCGGUUGGGGAUGGACUCGCGGCUUAUCAGCUUGUUGGUGGGGUAGUGGCUUACCAAGGCUUUGACGGGUAGCCGGCCUGAGAGGGUGACCGGCCACAUUGGGACUGAGAUCCGGCCCAGACUCCUACGGGGGGCAGCGGGGGGAAAUAUUGCAAAGGGGGCGGAGCUCGGAUGCGGCACCGCCGCGUGGGGGAUGACGGCUUUCGGUUUGUAAACCGCUUGCGCCUGGGACGAAGGGGGAGGGACGGAAAGGGGAAAAGAAGCCCCGGCUAACCACGUC
Molecule: ribosomal RNA, 468 nt
Filed under: uncultured bacterium
Lineage: Bacteria
Description: partial 16S ribosomal RNA
Rfam family: Bacterial small subunit ribosomal RNA
Source: RNAcentral